This 28-nucleotide non-coding RNA is filed under the name Homo sapiens (human). Lineage: Eukaryota; Metazoa; Chordata; Mammalia; Primates; Hominidae. The record is from RNAcentral.
GCACAGGGUGAGCCCGAGAGAGAUCUGU